GAUAUCUUAGUUAAGUGGAAAGAAUACUUAAUUAUCAAUUAAGGAAGUGCCAGUUCGAAUCUGGUAGAUCUCG
RNAcentral lists this transfer RNA (73 nucleotides) under Clavaria fumosa. RNAcentral's name for it is "tRNA-Asp". It matches the Rfam family "tRNA". Rfam says of the family: Transfer RNA (tRNA) molecules are approximately 80 nucleotides in length. Their secondary structure includes four short double-helical elements and three loops (D, anti-codon, and T loops). The record is from RNAcentral. Lineage: Eukaryota; Fungi; Basidiomycota; Agaricomycetes; Agaricales; Clavariaceae.